UUCCGGUUGAUCCUGCCGGACCUGACUGCUAUCGGAUUGAUACUAAGCCAUGCGAGUCAUUGUAGCAAUACAAGGCAGACGGCUCAGUAACGCGUAGUCAACCUAACCUAUGGACGGGAAUAACCUCGGGAAACUGAGAAUAAUGCCCGAUAGAACACUAUACCUGGAAUGGUUUGUGUUCCAAAUGAUUUAUCGCCGUAGGAUGGGACUGCGGCCUAUCAGUUUGUUGGUGAGGUAAUGGCCCACCAAGACUAUUACAGGUACGGGCUCUGAGAGGAGUAGCCCGGAGAUGGGUACUGAGACACGGACCCAGGCCCUAUGGGGCGCAGCAGGCGAGAAAACUUUGCAAUGUGCGAAAGCACGACAAGGUUAAUCCGAGUGAUUUGUGCUAAACGAAUCUUUUGUUAGUCCUAGAACCACUAACGAAUAAGGGGUGGGCAAGUUCUGGUGUCAGCCGCAGCGGUAAAACCAGCACCUCAAGUGGUCAGGAUGAUUAUUGGGCCUAAAGCAUCCGUAGCCGGCUCUGUAAGUUUUCGGUUAAAUCUGUACGCUUAACGUACAGGCUGCCGGAAAUACU
RNAcentral lists this ribosomal RNA (577 nucleotides) under uncultured archaeon. RNAcentral's name for it is "bacterial SSU rRNA". It matches the Rfam family "Archaeal small subunit ribosomal RNA", at positions 1 to 585 of the family's 1478-position model. The record is from RNAcentral.